AAAAUUAUCAUAAUUUAGUGACUUAAGUCAUGGAACAAAUGAUAAACUUGAAUUGCAUGUGCUGGGUGGUAUCCAAUGUUCCAACUGUUGGAUGACAUUCGGCAGGGUAUUGAUACAGCUCUAUGCCAAUGUGCCAUCUUAGAGCAUUACCUUUGGCCUGUAAUGGUUACCUGUUCGUUGGCAUAUAUUAUUAUGACAAGGAACCAGUAUAACCCAUUGUUUAUCUCCAAUAUAUGACUGAAGCCAGUGUUUCCGAGACUCAAAUCAAAUUUCAAAUAAUUGUAUCUGCAUGUUGUAUUUGUAUUCAAUAGUUUGCAUAUGCAGGCUAUUGUAUUUUGGUUUUCAAAGAUAGUAUGUGAACAAAAUCUUCCUAAGGCAAGUUGGACUUCUUUAAGAUCCAAUUAGCAUAGCUUAUAUGUUCAUUGAUGAUAUGUGAUCAGAAUUUUGAGGAACACAUUAAUUUUUGAAUUUAACGAGGAAGCAUUAUUUGACAACGAUAAUAUUUGAAAAUCAUAAUUCAUUAACUUGUAUAAUCCUUUAGUUUCAUCAUUAUGGUGUGAUGGUUUCAAAGGUUUUUAAAUACUGGUUGAACUGUUACAUAUGUAUCAUUUUUUACCAGUUUGGCCAAUUACUGAAAUUGAAAUGUGUAUUUUAAUACUGGUAAAUAUCAUUUUUAUUAUUUUAUUAAACCAUACCUAGCAGUACUGGCCAGUAUGGCAUCCAACAUAUGGUGUUAUAUAAGCACAAUAUAUUGCCGAAACUGGU
Molecule: long non-coding RNA, 765 nt
Filed under: Musa acuminata (dwarf banana)
Lineage: Eukaryota; Viridiplantae; Streptophyta; Magnoliopsida; Zingiberales; Musaceae
Description: long non-coding RNA (MACU_LNC001452)
Source: RNAcentral